GUGUUUUCCUUCUAAGGGGUUUCCUACUAUGCUGCCGCCGCCAUGAGGGUCAUGUAGAGGACACCUCCUUCUCUGCCUCCGACAUCCGAUGUCGGCAGCUCCUUGCUCUCAUGCAUGAGGCCUCAUGCGAGCACGAUGACUUCCCCUCCCCCUUUCUCCUCUAUUGUCGACGUCGUUUCUCUCACCCGCCGCCAUAGCGACGCACGCCUCUCUCCUCUACGAGGUUCUUUUGUUGGAGGCCACGCAAAUCCGACGAAGCCAGCUCUGGUAGAUAUCCCCUUCCUCUCUCUUCUUCCUCACGUCACCAAGCCGCCUCUCAUACGCCAUUGCCACAAGUUAUGCACGUUGCCGACCCCUCUUCUUCUCCUCUUUGGCACCAUUAAAGCAGAGGGACACUUCUUCUCCCCUAGUUGUUGCUCACCAUAGCAGGAAGACGACCUUACACCUUCUUCGCUGCCAACCACACAGCAGAUUCAGGUCAUCGUCGUCUCCCCUGACAUAUUCCCUCUUGCACGCAGGGCCCCUCCUCUUCCUCAUCUCCUCCUUCCUUGCACAUCCUCAAUAGAACCGACACCGCCAUCUCCAUCAUCUCCUCCACUGCGCUGGCCUCCACAGGCUGCUGUCGUGAGUCGCCUCGCAGUCCCCACUGUGGGUUAGGUCGGCGCCACACCUGUCGUCUCCCUCUCCCGUAGUACACCAGCGCCCACAGCCGCUUCCAACGACCACCGCCUUCCGGGCCACCGGUAGCCAAGCGCUGCCUCCAUCUCCCUCUUUUCCAACGUCCACAGCCGCCUAUUGGCGAUCUCCUCCAGGACGCCGCAACCCCGCCUCUCUUGCCGCCUCAUCGCAGGCCACCUCUGGGUCGUCCACCAUGUCGUGCGCCUUUGAGGUUGAGCGGGCCUCCGCGCCCUCGCUACCCGUGGGCUCCUAUCUGAUCGUGCUCCGUCUUUGUUAUGUUCCGGUCUUUGUGUCAUCCGACCUGUGUGUUAGAUUCUGAGUUGUGUCAUAUCUCGGCCAGUGUGCCGAUAUCAUGUUCCGACUUUCGUGCCGUCAUUGUAUCCCGACCUACGUGCCGUUAAUACCUCCCGGCCUGUGUGCCGCUAGUACCUUCUGGCCUGCGUGCCACUAUUAUCUCCUGACCUACAACUCGUCUUCCGGCUCUGUGUCGCGUCCUGCUCUGUUUCGUCAGAUCCAACCCUUCAUCCUGCUCAGAGUCAUCUACUCUUCCGGGUUACGACAACUCGAGCAGCGUCCCAUCCGAGGCGCUCCCCUUGGCCAGGGGACCAGGGCGACUUGAUCACUGGUUGUAGGUAGCGUUGACCAAAGGACUUCUGACGACUUGGUCAACACAGAAGUCAUCUCAGCAUACCCCCUUCCGGGAUGUCGCGAUUCGGUCAACAUUUCAUUUACCUCACUCCGACGGUCCGUUUGACUUAGAUUCCAGACAUAAUCAUUAUUAUUAUUAUUAUUAUUAUUAGUAGUAGUAGUUGAUAUUAUGUAUUCAACAUACGCUCAUUAAUCUUGGGUUAA
Long non-coding RNA from Zingiber officinale, 1530 nucleotides. RefSeq lists it as uncharacterized. Lineage: Eukaryota; Viridiplantae; Streptophyta; Magnoliopsida; Zingiberales; Zingiberaceae. The record is from RefSeq and is a predicted model, not a curated record. The transcript is spliced from 2 exons.